Molecule: long non-coding RNA, 270 nt
Filed under: Dromaius novaehollandiae (emu)
Lineage: Eukaryota; Metazoa; Chordata; Aves; Casuariiformes; Dromaiidae
Description: lncRNA (ENSDNVG00000008106.1)
Source: RNAcentral
UAAAGCUCUUGUGGUAGAAAACACCUUAGAGUCACAACAGCUGCAAACAGAAUGUGAUUUCAGUUUCUCUGGUGGUAAGAUGCUACUAGGAAAAGGCCCAUUUUGCUGGAUUUAGAAGAGCCUGAAUUUGCUGAUGGAACCUGCUUCCAAAGGACCAAGCUCACUAAAAUAACAUUUGAUAGAAGGAGACGGAUAUUCUUCAUUGAAUCCAGCUUUUAACUGGCUCCUGUCAAGAGACAUUUGGAUUGACAGCACAGUGGGAAAUACCUG